AGGAAAUGAAAAACCCCACUUUGAUGUAGCUUAUAUUCUAAUAAUGGAGACAAAAUAAACAAGAAACAUUAAGUAAAAAUACCAAAUUUUAGAUCUUAAUAAGUGCCAAAGUAGACCAAAGAGACCGGUUGCACUGGCUUACACCUGUAAUUCCAGCACUAUGGGAGGCCAGGAGUUGAAUUCAGGAGUUCAAGACCAGCCUGGGCAACACAGUAAGACCACAUCUCAAAAAAAAACAAGAAGAAAAGUAGGCCAAAGAAAUAUAAAUUACGUAUGUGGUAGAGGGGACUUGACAGUUUAGAUAGGAUGUCUGAAAGAGGCUUCCCAGAGAGUGCGUUUCUGAGUUAAACAAUGAAGUGGGUAAUCUAGUAAUAGAGUGUUUGGAAUAAGAGCAUUCCAAGGAGACAUACAAAAAGCAACAACCUUGGAGUUGUAACACAUUUAGCAUAUUCAAGGUAGAGUCAGAAGCCAGUGUGCUGGAAACAACUGAAUGAAAGAGAGAGGAUAAAGAAGAAAUCAGGAUACUAAGAAGAGGAGAGCAGGUAAUGUUCCACACUGAAGAUCACAGAAAAGACUUCAAGUAAAUUCUAAGUGAAGUGGACAGCCAGAAGGAAUGUUUUAAGAAUUUUUAGACAGAAUUUGACGUCAUUACUAUGGCAAGGACAAAAUCACGAGGAUCAGGCCUUUAUUAUCUGAAGACUGAAAGACUGAAUGAGAAAUGCAUCUGAUCUAAUGCUGAGACAGUCGAAUUUGGGAAUUUGAAAUGCGAUUUACCAGAGAGCAACUUGGGCUUAGCACAUGGCUGAGGAAGAGAGGAAGAGGAAGGUUGGACUUUCCAUUUCAGAGAUGGAAGAGGUCAAGGAAAAUCUGCAUUUCAUUAAGGAGCACGCAGUCACAGCUAGCUUCCUGUUUGAAGAAAAAGAAAACAGUCCCUUGUUCAAAUAUCAUAAUUCACCAAAAUCUCACCAUGUUUUUCAUUUUUUUCUAUUAUAAAUUUACGUUAAUUGCAUGCUGCUUAAAUGUGGUUUUACAUAUUUACUCUCAGCAGCUCACUUUUAGAGCUACAUAUAUUUUCC
This 1076-nucleotide long non-coding RNA is filed under the name Homo sapiens (human). Its description in RNAcentral is "HSALNT0204645". The record is from RNAcentral. Lineage: Eukaryota; Metazoa; Chordata; Mammalia; Primates; Hominidae.